UUUCACAGCUACCAGGGUUUUAAAGCUACUUAUUUUCAAUGCUACCACAGGACUGGGACUUGGGGAAUGGAAAUAUGAUCCCGUAGGCCCAUACUUGCACCAACUUAUGUCUGGUGCAACAAUGACACCAACGAUGUCUCCUGCUUACAACAACAAAAAUUUCUUUCUCAUCAUGCUGCAUGUCCAUCAAAGGUCGUCUUCUCUCGAGGCAGUCUCUAACUGGAAUGUUGGCACCGGUUGCAUUUCAUUGGGUAAAGCUAUACAUUUGUCAGGUCUCCAGGACUUUGAUUAACAGUGGGAGUAACAGAGCAAUCACUGUCUUAGUAACAACUUCAAAGGGAAGAUGCAUCAAGUUGAGGAAGACAUUGAUACAGGCUUUCUUCAGAGUCCUUAUCAAAGAUCAAGACUAUAUCAGCCUCAUAAAAUGGGUUAGGUAAUUUUCCUAUUUUUAUUUUUUAG
Molecule: long non-coding RNA, 459 nt
Filed under: Equus caballus (horse)
Lineage: Eukaryota; Metazoa; Chordata; Mammalia; Perissodactyla; Equidae
Description: lncRNA (ENSECAG00000031169.3)
Source: RNAcentral